RNAcentral lists this small nuclear RNA (102 nucleotides) under Carlito syrichta (Philippine tarsier). The record is from RNAcentral. Lineage: Eukaryota; Metazoa; Chordata; Mammalia; Primates; Tarsiidae.
GCUCUGGCUGCUGUAUCACAAUACCAGAACCCAACAAUACACAGAUUAGUAUGACCUCUGCACAAGGAGGACACAAAAAUUUAUAAAAUGUUUCAUUUUUUU